Hypanus sabinus (Atlantic stingray) is the source of this 579-nucleotide long non-coding RNA. RefSeq lists it as uncharacterized. The transcript has 3 exons. The record is from RefSeq and is a predicted model, not a curated record. Lineage: Eukaryota; Metazoa; Chordata; Chondrichthyes; Myliobatiformes; Dasyatidae.
GUUUUUCUCCAGCCACCGUCGGGUUGAGAAUACCACGAUUUCACCAAGAGAGAGCAACGCUUUCCAGCGUAGCUCAGCGGCUGGCGUCAGAGAUACAGGAUGGUCUUCCAGCUCAGUGAGCCGUGCUGCCCAGCAACCCACCUAUUUAUCACUAGCCUAAUCACAGACUGAUCGGAAGGUGACGGUAACUCAAAUAACCACAAGUUACAACAGUGGUCUGCAAAAAAGCAUCUCUGACUGCACAACAUGUCGCACCUUGAAGUGGAUGGGCUACAUCAGCAGAAGACCACAAAGAUACACUGAGUGGCUGCUUUAUUAGGUAGUGGAGGUAUUUAAUUAACUGGCCAUUGAAUGUAUUGGUAUGCUUUGGUUUUGACCAUUCUCACAACUGAACCAAUGCCUCCUUAUUUAUCCCAUCAAAGCCCUUCCUGAUUUUGAAGAUUCCUUUUAAUCUUCUCCUCGGAGAAUGCAGCUCAUCAGGAGUUUCACUGCCCAAAACUUGUCCUUGUCCAAGGUGUGAUUACACUUGCAAACCUGCAAUGGCUCAUUGUCCUCGAAAUGCUCAAACUCAAAGUGCUC